UCGAACGAUGAAGCCCUUCGGGGUGGAUUAGUGGCGAACGGGUGAGUAACACGUGGGCAAUCUGCCCUUCACUCUGGGACAAGCCCUGGAAACGGGGUCUAAUACCGGAUAACACUUCUUCAGGCAUCUGUAGAGGUUAAAAGCUCCGGCGGUGAAGGAUGAGCCCGCGGCCUAUCAGCUUGUUGGUGGGGUAAUGGCCUACCAAGGCGACGACGGGUAGCCGGCCUGAGAGGGCGACCGGCCACACUGGGACUGAGACACGGCCCAGACUCCUACGGGAGGCAGCAGUGGGGAAUAUUGCACAAUGGGCGAAAGCCUGAUGCAGCGACGCCGCGUGAGGGAUGACGGCCUUCGGGUUGUAAACCUCUUUCAGCAGGGAAGAAGCGAAAGUGACGGUACCUGCAGAAGAAGCGCCGGCUAACUACGUGCCAGCAGCCGCGGUAAUACGUAGGGCGCAAGCGUUGUCCGGAAUUAUUGGGCGUAAAGAGCUCGUAGGCGGCUUGUCGCGUCGGAUGUGAAAGCCCGGGGCUUAACCCCGGGUCUGCAUUCGAUACGGGCAGGCUAGAGUGUGGUAGGGGAGAUCGGAAUUCCUGGUGUAGCGGUGAAAUGCGCAGAUAUCAGGAGGAACACCGGUGGCGAAGGCGGAUCUCUGGGCCAUUACUGACGCUGAGGAGCGAAAGCGUGGGGAGCGAACAGGAUU
This 700-nucleotide ribosomal RNA is filed under the name Streptomyces sp. Its description in RNAcentral is "bacterial SSU rRNA". It matches the Rfam family "Bacterial small subunit ribosomal RNA", at positions 62 to 779 of the family's 1533-position model. The record is from RNAcentral. Lineage: Bacteria; Bacillati; Actinomycetota; Actinomycetes; Kitasatosporales; Streptomycetaceae.